RNAcentral lists this ribosomal RNA (403 nucleotides) under uncultured bacterium. RNAcentral describes it as "partial 16S ribosomal RNA". It matches the Rfam family "Bacterial small subunit ribosomal RNA", at positions 30 to 526 of the family's 1533-position model. The record is from RNAcentral.
AUUGAACGCUGGCGGCAGGCCUAACACAUGCAAGUCGAGUGAGCGGCGGACGGGUGAGUAAUGUAUGGGGACUGCCCGAUCGAGGGGGAUAACUACUGGAAACGGUGGCUAAUACCGCAUACUAUCGGAUAACCCAUAUGGGAUUAGCUAGUAGGUGGGGUAAAGGGUCACCUAGGCGACGAUCCCUAGCUGGUCUGAGAGGAUGACCAGCCACACGGAAACUGGGCUACGGUCCAGACUCCUAGGGAGGCAGCGGUGGGGAAUAUUGCACAAUGGGCGCAAGCCUGAUGCAGCCAUGCCGCGUGGAUGCAGAAGGCCUUCGGGGUGUAAAGUACUUUCAGCGAGGAGGCGUUACUCGCAGAAGAAGCACCGGCUAACUCCGUGCCAGCCGCCGCGGUAAUUC